Molecule: transfer RNA, 72 nt
Filed under: Streptomyces nojiriensis
Lineage: Bacteria; Bacillati; Actinomycetota; Actinomycetes; Kitasatosporales; Streptomycetaceae
Description: tRNA-Ser
Source: RNAcentral
CGCAGCGCAGGCUGGUCACGGCCAACGCCUUGAGCGCGCUGGGGGACGGCGUACGGUUCGCCGCGCUGCCCC